AUAAUUUGUGGUAGUGGGGGACUGCG
RNAcentral lists this non-coding RNA (26 nucleotides) under Callithrix jacchus (white-tufted-ear marmoset). RNAcentral also lists the same sequence under 3 other names. Lineage: Eukaryota; Metazoa; Chordata; Mammalia; Primates; Cebidae. The record is from RNAcentral.